UGAAAACGCACAUCUCUUCUCUUCUUGUUAGCAUAGCUAGCCAUCUGUUCUUGCGCUCUUUGUAGAUGUGAUUUAAGUUGUGUUAGAGCCUCAUCUCUCUCACUUAGCUCUAAUGCCACCGCAACCACCUUAGUCUCAUUUGAUAAAAACCGCAGAAUACUAGGAGGAUGCCUUCCAUAAACCACUUCAAACGGAGUUCUCCCAAUCGACACAUGAUAGGUGGUAUUGUACCAAAACUCAGCCCAUGAAAGCCAAGUUGACCAAGUUUUGGGUUGAUCUGAAGCAAAACAUCUCAAAUAGCUUUCCAGACAUCUAUUUAUCACUUCCGUUUGCCCAUCCGUUUCUGGAUGAUAGGCAGAACUCAUCUGCAAUUUAGUGCCCUGCAGUUUAAAUAAUUCCAACCAAAAAUGGCUCACGAAUAAGGGAUCCCUGUCACUGAUAAGGGACUUUGGAAUUCCAUGAAGCCGCACUAUUUCUUUUACAAACAAUUCAGCAAUGGACUUAGCUGUGUAAGGAUGCUUGAGCAAUAUGAAGUGAUUGUACUUAGACAACCUAUCCACAACCACCGGUACAGCCUCAUAACCCUUAGACUUAGGCAAACCCGUAAUGAAAUCUAGCGAAAGAUCCUCCCAAAUACCAUUAGGAAUGGGGAGAGGUUGCAGCAAACCUCCGGGAGUAGUAGCUGCAUACUUUUGUCUUUGACAGAUAUCACAAGCACGCACAAAUUCUCUCACCGACUUCUGCAUUCCCAGCCAAUAUAAAUUAUCCGCCAGCUUCCGAUAGGUUCUCAAGAAACCUGAAUGUCCACCAGUAGGAGUGCAAUGAAAUACCUCCAACAGUAGAGGGAUAGAUGGGGACUUAGGAGAAAGAACCAGCCUGCCAUGAUAAAACAACACACCUUGCUUAACAAAAUAGCCUGGCUUAGAAUCAGGAGCAGACAACACGGUUUGUAUCAUGUCCUGAAUUUCUGGAUCAUCUUUCACCUCAUCUAAUUUUUUUUUGCUAUCGGUCCAUUGCGGGUACGAAAUCAAGGUACCAUGGAUCAUCUUUCACCUCAUCUAAUUUUUUUUUGCUAUCGGUCCAUUGCGGGUACGAAAUCAAGGUACCCAAAUCAGCAUCGUCAUCACGUCUGGAUAGAGCAUCAGCAGCUUUGUUAUCCAUCCCUAGUUUGUACUUCACCUCAAACUGAUAGCCAAGCAACUUAGCCAACCAACACUACUGGUCUGGGGAAGUUAUUCUCUGCUGCAGGAAGUGUUUUAGACUCUUGUGAUCCGUGUAUACUCUGAAUUUCUUUCCCAACAAGUAGUGUCGCCAAUGCUGGAUGCACAAUACCAAGACCAUAAGCUCUUUUUCAUACACCAACUUUGCUAAAUUUCCUUGAGAUAAUGCUUUGCUGAAAAACGCUACAGGUUUCCUUUGCUGCAUUAACACCGCUCCGAUACCUCUACCAGCUGCGUCACAUUCCACUUCAAAGGGUAGAGAAAAAUUAGGUAGUACCAAAACAGGGGGUGAAGUCAUGAUAAUCUUCAUCCAUUGAAAAGCUGCAUUUGCCUCUGUUCCCCAUGCAAAGUUAUCCUUCUUGGUCAGCUCAGUCAAAGGCUUGGCCACUUUGCCAUAAUCCUUAAUAAAUUUUCUAUAGUACCCAGUAAGUCCCAAAAAUCCACGAACUCCUUUUACAUUCUUUGGUUCUGACAAUGAGAGGUUGUGAUCAACCACUGAUUGUUCGGUUUGAUGAUCGUAAGAGACCUCGCCAGAAAGCCGCAGGAUUUGAUCUCAGAUUGGAUACAUCAAACACUAGACUUCCAUCAAAUAAUUCUGAAUUUCUGGAUCAUCUUUCACCUUAUCUAAAUUUUUUUUGCUAUCGGUCCAUUGCGGGUACGAAAUCAAGGUACCCAAAUCAGCAUCGUCAUCACGUCUGGAUAGAGCAUCAGCA
RNAcentral lists this long non-coding RNA (1933 nucleotides) under Lathyrus oleraceus (garden pea). Its description in RNAcentral is "Pisum sativum (pea) long non-coding RNA (PSAT_LNC036899)". Lineage: Eukaryota; Viridiplantae; Streptophyta; Magnoliopsida; Fabales; Fabaceae. The record is from RNAcentral.